AUCAUUAAGCGGUGGAAGAGAAAACAAAAGUGAUAUCCUUAGUAACGGCGAGCGAACAGGAUGAAGCCCAACGCAAAGGCAAACUGCUUAUUUGAGUGGUUGGCGAUGCUGCGUGUGGGCGCGGUGCUUGAGUUUAGAUUUGCCUGCUGGCGUGUGUACAAACGAGUUACCUAGUAGCUGACCAGAGCGGGUUGAAGUCCCGUAUGUACACUGUAAGUCYACAGACAACAGUACGAAGGCCUGCGCCUGAGAGUAGGAUUGCUUGAAAGUGCAAUUUGAAGUAGGAGGUAUGCAUCUCCUAAGGCUAAAUAUUACUGCGAGACCGAUAGCGAACAAGUAGCGUAAGCGAAAGUUGAAAAGGACUUUGAAGAGAGAGUUCAAAGAGCGUGAAACCACUAGUAGGGAAACGGGUGUUACCUCGAGAAGGCGAUGCAAAUUCUGUGGUCGUGCGUGAAUUGCCUUUCGUGUGGGCAGUGGAUAGAGGCGAUUCGUCGUUUUGAUUCUGUUGUCUAUGCUUGGGCUACGUUGCGGCUAUAAAGCAGAUUUGAGGCCAGUAUGUAGUGCUCUUUCAAAGCUUGGUAUCUGUCAGUAGAGCCAACGCAGCACCUUCGGGAAGGUUGUGUUGGUCUGCAGGCUUGACUAUUUAGUGGCAGUUGACAAUUAUGUUGCGGAUUCACGUGGCUAAUUGUUCAGCUCUACAAGUUAGUACCGUUAGCAGAGGAAGAACAGUGCUGCAUAUAAGUAGAUCGGUAAGCACCUGUCCCGUCUUGAAACACGGACCAAGGAGCCUAGCGUGUGCGCAAGUCAUUCAGUGUGAAACAAAACUYGACUGGCGCAACGAAAGCAAUCUGGUGCAUUUYGGUGCACUGCUAUUAGGCGUUGAUUCUUUGCGAACAGCGUCGCAGUAGCAAUGCGGUGCCUUGCGCGCCGUAUCAGAGCGCACACGGUAGUACCCGAAAGAUGGUGAACUAUGCUUGAGCAGGAUGAAGCCAAAGGAAACUUUGGUGGAAGUCUGUAGCAGUUUUGACGUGCAAAUCGAUUGUCAGACUCGAGUAUAGCGGCGAAAGACUAAUCGAACCAUCUAGUAGCUGGUUUCCUUCGAAAUUUCCCGCAGGAUAGCAAGCGCGUUACAAAUCAUUCGAAUCUGUUACAGUCUCAAUAGAAGGUAACGGGGCGUUAAUUGACCUUGUCCUUUUCCUAAACUUGGUCAAUGGAUUCCACUUGUGCGUACUUGCAUGCUUGCUGCAUGCAAUAAAACAAACAAACUGGCUGAUGAUUUGCGCUUAGUGGGCCAUUUUUGGUAAGCAGAACUGGCGAUGUGGGAUGAACCGUACACAGAGUUAAAGUGCCUAACUGAUAUACGCUAAGAAGAUCCCAUUAAAGAUGUUGUUCGCUUAAGACAGUAGGGCGGUGGCCAUGGAAGUCGGCAUCCGCUAAGGAGUGUGUAACAACUCACCUACCGAAGCGUUCAACUCUGAAAAUGGAUGGCGCUCAAGCGUUCGACUGAAACUCUGUCGUAUCAAGUAAAUCCUGUGAAAGGCUUCUUUCUCGAACAACAGACUGAAGAUCAGACUGAUACGAGUAGGAGGAAUGUGGCGAUGGCGUUGAAGCUUUUGACGUAAGUCUGGGUGGAGCCGUUGCUAGURCAGAUCUUGGUGGUAGUAGCAAACAGAAAAGUGACAUCCUUUUUGACCGACGUGGAUAAGGGUUCCAUGUGAACAGUAUUUGGUCAUGGGUUAGUCGAUCCUGAGGGGCGCGGCGAAAGCCGUAUCGUAAGUAGUGUCCUUUGCUGGAUGCGCCUCGAAAGGGAAUGCGGUUAAUAUUCCGCAACCUUGUUAGCGUAUUGUUUGCAGUCAAAUGCAAACAGUAGCGGCAACGCUUUCRAACCCAGAGACGUGAGCCAAAGUCCUGGAAAGAGAUAUCUUCUCUUUUUUAAGCUGCUUUUGUCAAGUGCCUUGAAACAGUUUAGCUGGAGACAGGCAUGUACACAGCGAAUUGCAUCGCGCUUCAUGCGGUGUGUCAGUGCGCUUUGGUUAACCCUUGAAAAUCUGGGUAAGUGUUCAGAACGYUACAAGAUCGUACCUAGAUCCGCAACCGGUAUCCUAGGUGAACAGCCUCUGGUCUAUUAGAAUAAUGUAAGUAAGGGAAGUCGGCAAAACUGAUCUGUAUCUUUGGUACAAAGAUUGGCUCUGGCGAGUUUGCCAAUUGCGUCGUACUUAGUAAGUGUGGGCACGCUGGUCACGGUACUGGCGGGUAGCUUUCGGGCAGCCUGCUGGAACUUAGAUCGCGACCUGUAYUGAAAAGUGCGAGUACGGUUGGCAAAUAAAACAAAUAGUCAGAACUAUCAUUGACUUUUCGGAAUCUGACUGUUUAAUUAAAACAUAGCAUCGAGAUGACUGGUGACCCAGUGUUGACUCGAUGUGAAUUCUGCCCAGUGCUCUGAAUGUCAACGUGUAGAAAUUCAAUGAAGCGCGGGUAAACGGCGGGAGUAACUAUGACUCUCUUAAGGUAGCCAAAUGCCUCGUCAUCUAAUUAGUGACGUGCAUGAAUGGAUUAACGAGAUUCCAUCUGUCCCUACUUACUAUCUAGCGAAACCACAGCCAAGGGAACGGGCUUGGCGAGAUCAGCGGGGAAAGAAGACCCUGUUGAGCUUGACUCUAGUCUGGCAUUGUGAGGAAACUGUAUUCGGUAUAGCAUAGGUGGGAGAUACUUUCGGGUAUCGUUAUCAACUGUAAAACCACCACGAUACAGCACCACUCACUGACUUGAUUAUGAGGCUUACUUUGUGUACCAAUUUCGGUUGGGCGCAAAGGAAACUUUCUCAUAGCGCAUCAAGUCGGGAUUUCUGAAUUGCUUGCAAUUUAGAAGCCAUAUUCCGUCGAGGCAUUAUUCAAGGACAGUGCCAGGCGGGGAGUUUGACUGGGGCGGUACAUCUAUCAAAUGUUAACGUAGGUGUCCUAAUGUUAGCUCAGUGAGACCAGAAAUCUCACGUAGAAUAUAAGGGUACAAGCUGGCUUGAUUCUGAAUAUCAGUACAAUUGCGAGACAAGAAAUUGUGGCCUAACGAUCCUUUUGACAAGCAAAACACUAUCAAUGCAUAAUACAAGAGGUGUCAGAAAAGUUACCACAGGGAUAACUGGCUUGUGGCGGCCAAGCGUUCAUAGCGACGCCGCUUUUUGAUCCUUCGAUGUC
RNAcentral lists this ribosomal RNA (3191 nucleotides) under Parapygmephorus (Sicilipes) sp. AD1936. RNAcentral's name for it is "eukaryotic LSU rRNA". It matches the Rfam family "Eukaryotic large subunit ribosomal RNA", at positions 42 to 2885 of the family's 3401-position model. The record is from RNAcentral. Lineage: Eukaryota; Metazoa; Arthropoda; Arachnida; Trombidiformes; Neopygmephoridae.